RNAcentral lists this ribosomal RNA (1212 nucleotides) under uncultured Ramaria. RNAcentral's name for it is "eukaryotic LSU rRNA". The stretch from base 584 to 1212 matches the Rfam family "Eukaryotic large subunit ribosomal RNA", at positions 1 to 609 of the family's 3401-position model. Lineage: Eukaryota; Fungi; Basidiomycota; Agaricomycetes; Gomphales; Gomphaceae. The record is from RNAcentral.
AGGAUCAUUAACGUAUUGUUGGGGGGUUAGAUGCUGGCCUGCGAAGGCACCUGCUCGCCCCUGUACUCUAAAUCCACAUACACCUGUGCACCUUCAGCGAGCGCCUCCCGUUCGGAGCCGUCCGGCGUUCGUGCGUCGGACCGGGGCGCUCCCUGCCUUAAUACACCACAGCCUGUCUUAUAACGCAUGUGAUGGCCCCACGGGGCAGAAGCCUAUACAACUUUCAACAACGGAUCUCUUGGCUUUCGCAUCGAUGAAGAACGCCGCGAAAGUGCGAAACGUAAUGUGAAUUGCAGAAUUCAGUGAAUCAUCGAAUCUUUGAACGCACCUUGCGCUCCUUGGUAUUCCGAGGAGCAUGCCUGUUUGAGUGUCGUGAACUCCCUCAACCUUGCUUCUUUGUUGAAGUGGGUUUGGAUUUGGACGCCUGCGGCCCUCUGGCGCCGCUCGUCUUUAAAUGCAUUAGCUGGUCCCUCUGGUCGGUCCGACGGCGGUGUGAUAACAAACGCUUUCGUUGACCGUGGCGCCGCUUGUCGCCGGCCCGGGCCGCUUACAAUCGUCUUCGGACAAGCCUUUUCAUGUCAUCAGACCUCAGAUCAGGUAGGACUACCCGCUGAACUUAAGCAUAUCAAUAAGCGGAGGAAAAGAAACUAACAAGGAUUCCCCUAGUAACGGCGAGUGAAGCGGGAAGAGCUCAAAUUUGUAAUCUGGCGGCCUCUGGCCGUCCGAGUUGUAGUCUGGAGAAGCGUUUUCCGCGUCGGACCGUGUACAAGUCCCUUGGAACAGGGCGUCGUAGAGGGUGAGAAUCCCGUCUUUGACACGGACUGCCGAUGCUUUGCGAUGCGCUCUCGAAGAGUCGAGUUGUUUGGGAAUGCAGCUCAAAACGGGUGGUAAAUUCCAUCUAAAGCUAAAUAUUGGCGAAAGACCGAUAGCGAACAAGUACCGUGAGGGAAAGAUGAAAAGCACUUUGGAAAGAGAGUUAAACAGUACGUGAAAUUGUUGAAAGGGAAACGCUUGAAGUCAGUCGCGUCUUCCGGGACUCAGCCUUGCUUCUGCUUGGCGUACUUCCUGGGGUGACGGGCCAGCAUCGAUUUUGGCCGUCGGAGAAAGGCCUUGGGAACGUGGCACCUUCGGGUGUGUUAUAGCCCUCGGUCGUAUGCGACGGUUGGGAUCGAGGACCGCAGCACGCCUUUUUGGCCGGGGUUCGCCCACGUA